Molecule: long non-coding RNA, 377 nt
Filed under: Mustela putorius furo (domestic ferret)
Lineage: Eukaryota; Metazoa; Chordata; Mammalia; Carnivora; Mustelidae
Description: lncRNA (ENSMPUG00000024465.1)
Source: RNAcentral
CCCUGAAGCGUGACUUCUCUUUAGUGCUCUGGAAGCACAGGUUCAUAGACAGUGUUGCAGUCUUUGAAUAUCAUAAGCAGAAUUGUGCAUUGCUUCUGCUGCUCACAGCAAAGUUGUUAUUUGGGGUCUGACGUCCUCUCUCUGCGGGUGCUGCUCAGAGGAUCUGAGCUGCUCCCUUCGGGCUGGGUGCUUACGGCACCUCGAGGUGGGAUGGGACCUGCUCUUCUUUCCUUGUGUGACCCCUACAUUGGAGAGAGAACUAUAGUCAUGGUGGAAGAACCCAGAAGGAACUGCUGCAUUUCAGCUGCGGUGACCACAUCUAUGAGGCAGAGAGGCAAAAGAGGAGCAGUUCAGUUCCUUUGCCUCCCACAAUGGCC